RNAcentral lists this ribosomal RNA (736 nucleotides) under uncultured bacterium. RNAcentral's name for it is "bacterial SSU rRNA". It matches the Rfam family "Bacterial small subunit ribosomal RNA", at positions 8 to 796 of the family's 1533-position model. The record is from RNAcentral.
AGAGUUUGAUCAUGGCUCAGAACGAACGCUGGCGGCAGUAACACAUGCAAGUCGAGCGCCUCGNNNGAGAGCGGCAGACGGGUGAGUAACGCGUGGGAAUCUACCCAUCUCUACGGAACAACUCCGGGAAACUGGAGCUAAUACCGUAUACGUCCUUCGGGAGAAAGAUUUAUCGGAGAUGGAUGAGCCCGCGUUGGAUUAGCUAGUUGGUGGGGUAAUGGCCUACCAAGGCGACGAUCCAUAGCUGGUCUGAGAGGAUGAUCAGCCACAUUGGGACUGAGACACGGCCCAAACUCCUACGGGAGGCAGCAGUGGGGAAUAUUGGACAAUGGGCGAAAGCCUGAUCCAGCCAUGCCGCGUGAGUGAUGAAGGCCCUAGGGUUGUAAAGCUCUUUCAACGGUGAAGAUAAUGACGGUAACCGUAGAAGAAGCCCCGGCUAACUUCGUGCCAGCAGCCGCGGUAAUACGAAGGGGGCUAGCGUUGUUCGGAAUUACUGGGCGUAAAGCGCACGUAGGCGGAUACUUAAGUCAGGGGUGAAAUCCCGGGGCUCAACCCCGGAACUGCCUUUGAUACUGGGUAUCUCGAGUCCGAGAGAGGUGAGUGGAAUUCCGAAUGUAGAGGUGAAAUUCGUAGAUAUUCGGAGGAACACCAGUGGCGAAGGCGGCUCACUGGCUCGGUACUGACGCUGAGGUGCGAAAGCGUGGGGAGCAAACAGGAUUAGAUACCCUAGUAGUCC